RNAcentral lists this transfer RNA (73 nucleotides) under Vicugna pacos (alpaca). RNAcentral's name for it is "tRNA-Ala (AGC) (tRNA-Ala-AGC-538-1)". It matches the Rfam family "tRNA". Rfam says of the family: Transfer RNA (tRNA) molecules are approximately 80 nucleotides in length. Their secondary structure includes four short double-helical elements and three loops (D, anti-codon, and T loops). The record is from RNAcentral. Lineage: Eukaryota; Metazoa; Chordata; Mammalia; Artiodactyla; Camelidae.
GGAGGGUAUAGCUCAGUGGUAGAGCACAUGCUUAGCAUGCACGAGGUCCUGGGUUCAAUCCCCAGUGCCUCCA